This 253-nucleotide ribosomal RNA is filed under the name uncultured bacterium. Its description in RNAcentral is "partial 16S ribosomal RNA". It matches the Rfam family "Bacterial small subunit ribosomal RNA", at positions 524 to 776 of the family's 1533-position model. The record is from RNAcentral.
UACGUAGGGGGCAAGCGUUGUCCGGAUUUACUGGGCGUAAAGAGCGUGUAGGCGGCCAAGCAGGUCCGUUGUGAAAACUGGAGGCUCAACCUCCAGACGUCGACGGAAACCGCGUGGCUAGAGUCCGGAAGAGGAGAGUGGAAUUCCUGGUGUAGCGGUGAAAUGCGCAGAUAUCAGGAAGAACACCAAUGGCGAAGGCAGCUCUCUGGGACGGUACUGACGCUGAGACGCGAAAGCGUGGGGAGCGAACAGG